CCAGGAAAGGCACUUUCUGAGGGCGUCCCCAGAUUCCAGCUUUGUCCUUGAUGCGCUUACGCCGCUAUGAGCGCAUGAUCAUACAGAACUAGAGCCGCAGAUUUUUAGCUGGUUAUAUUACAGCUAACAGAAAAACCACCUUUCCAAGUCUCCUUUGCAGCUGGAUGCCCAAGUCUAUAAAUUCUUGCCAAUGAGAUAUAAACAAGAAUGACGUGCAAGUUCAGGGAGGGACUUCUACAAGGAACGUAUUAAAAACUGCAUGUCAGAUAAUCGGGCGUUUUGCAAUGAGAUGAUUGAACUGCUCUGUGCAAUCCUCCUGAUGAUCACAAAAAUA
Long non-coding RNA from Equus quagga, 334 nucleotides. RefSeq lists it as uncharacterized. Lineage: Eukaryota; Metazoa; Chordata; Mammalia; Perissodactyla; Equidae. The transcript is spliced from 3 exons. The record is from RefSeq and is a predicted model, not a curated record.